AUGAAAACCUCUGGGCACAGUACAGUGGGAGUGCAGGCUGCCAGGAUGGGGCAGAAGAGGCAAAGGGCUCCCUCGUGGGCCUGCCAACCAAAGACCACCCCUAGGGACUGGGACACCAUCCUCAUUACAGGGCAGGGCCCUGGUGGGAGAGGAGGCUGCCCCUGGCACUUCUUGCCCAGAUGCACCUUGCUGCUGGCCACAGCCAACUGGCAGCAGCACCACAAGGCCCAGCAAGGCAAGGGUGGUGGUGACAGGCGAGGGCAGAUGUGGGAGCGGAUGGACAUGUGGGGCUUGUUCUGGCUGUGCAGGAAGGCUGGUAAAGGCAGAAGAUGGUGGCAGAGGCACAGAAGGAAACAUUUCUUUAACCGAGAGACAAAGAUAAGGAAUCCAAGGAGAGAGAAGUACCACAGGGAACAGGACCACUCUGCGUCUUCUUCAAAUGGCAGCUGGGUGCAGGAGGGACCACACAAUUCUCCCACACAGAGACUGUGGCACAAGAGGUCUGAGGGGGCACACUGGUGGCAUGACAGCAGGAGGAGGAGGAGACACCACCGCUGCAUGAAACCUCUCCACCAAGCCAGGGCAGGUGGGCAGAGCAGCCCCAGAGAGGCUUUGCAGCACAGGCCUCCCCCAAGAAAUCAGCAGCCUCAGACCAUCCAUAUUGCCCGCAAGUGUUACCACAGUUUCUCCUUGGGACUGCAGCAGCCCUGUGAGCCAGCAACAGGCAGUAGUGGUAGAGUCUCGUGCAGUCCCCCACUCUGGAAUGUGAAGAAGCACUGCUGGGCAGACAGGUCCCACGUUCUUCCUGAGCUGCUGCAAGAGAUGACUAGGUACCUCCGCCCCAUGAACAUGGCAGGGUACUGCCUGCUGGGGAUGUGUGCGCCCCACAACACCAGCCAGUACAUUAUGGAUCAACAUCUGGACACAUGGAAAAAUGAGCAGGAAGAAGCAGUGGCAAUGUCCAGAGAGAACAGUAUUGACAGCAUCAUGGAUGAGAACUCUCUCACAGCCCCUCUCCCUUCCAUAGUCCAGAAUGAAGGAGACAUCUCUACAAAGGAAGAGGAGGACAAGAAGGAGAAGAGCAUGCAGCUCACCUACGAAGACUGGAAGUGCAAAGCUGAUAUCCACCAUGAAACCUAA
Molecule: long non-coding RNA, 1140 nt
Filed under: Anas zonorhyncha (Eastern spot-billed duck)
Lineage: Eukaryota; Metazoa; Chordata; Aves; Anseriformes; Anatidae
Description: lncRNA (ENSAZOG00000006845.1)
Source: RNAcentral